AGCGUUGAUGAAGUUCGGUGCGGAGCAUAAACGGUUCAUGAUGCAAUUGGUUUUGAGUUCCUGGGAAGCAAUCAAUUUCAGCCGUGUAUUUGUCUCUAGUUUUCAGCGAGUUUCGGGCGUUCGGAGUCCAGGUGUAUUUCUAGACGUUGAUGAUGCUAGAUAUGCACUAUAAACGGUAUGGAUGUUAGGAUCUGAGGUCCUGGUGCGUAUGCUUUGCCACUCUCGCUUAACAGAUUGCGAGAACAGAUCUGUUGUCACAUGCAAAUGCAAUUAUGGAUAUGCUGGCGAGGUAGGGACAAUCGAGACACGAUUAGGGGGAAUUAAAUAAUUAAUUAAAUUAUACUUCUAUUGAAAUUUUACAUAUAUAAAUUUUAAUUAAUUUAAUGAAUUGAUUUUAAAUGACGUGGACUCUUCAAACCCAUAGUGCACUUUCAUUUUUGUUACAUGUGAUAGUGUUUCAUAAUUAGGGUAAUGAAGGGUCAUCAUGAAAUGAGACCUUGAGCAAAGUAAUCUUGGGGUGUGUUUGGAUUUUGAGUUGGGAUUUGAAUAGUAAAAAUUUUGAAUUUGAAUAGUUGUAUGAUGUGAUAUAAAUAGGUGUUGAUGUGAUGUUUUGAAUGUAAAAUUGAUUUUUAGUAUAAUAUAAAAAAUGAAAAAUAGGUGUUUGAUUUAUUGUUUUGGGAGGAAAAAAUAGGAUGAAUAGUUGAAAUCUAAACAAAUACCUCAAACAAACACACCCCAAGGGUUAAUUUGAACCUGAGUUAAAUUAUAACGCAGUGGUAUCAUUUUAAAUUUGAAGAAAAUUAAUUUGAAAGCCCAGUGUGUUUUGUUGGCCCAAAUAUUGUUCUAAAUUUUUUUUCAAGGUCCAUAACAUUUAGGACAUGAUAGGAUGUAUCUCAACGAUAUCUUGUGCCUUUAUUACAUGGAUAUAUAUAUAUAUAUAUAGGCGAAAUAAAAAAAGGUCAUAUAAUUAUGAUAAGGCUGUUUUAUUUCUUUGGGCAGUUGCUUAGGUAACUGGAAUAAUAAAUUGUCCACAUUAAAAUUGCUCAAUAAAUGCAUCCAACCUCCAAAAAACAGACAGAAAUGUAUCAAUGGAGGGCUUGAAUUUUGAACUUCUUUUUAGAUGAAGAAGUUGUUUUUUUCCUGGGAAGGCAUUUUCCUUUCAUUUUGGACUUUUCCUUAUUCAGCUCUUUUCUUACAGCAGCAGCUGCUGCUGCUUCUCUUGUCGUGUCACUUCUGAAAUUAAAAUUCAAAAUUUAAUUAAUAAAUAAACCGAAUUAUAUUUCAAAUGAAUGUUUAAAAUAAUUAAUGACGAGUUUAGAGAAUGGCGGACCUGUCUUGAUUGAAGGAAGAGGAUCUCUUCAAUCGUGGCCGUUGAUCUCUACCAAGCCUUACGUCAUCGCCCAUGGCUUCCACGAUGCUUCCACUGAAGUACUCUUUUUCCUCCGCAGGGAAAUUCCCGAUCAACCGUGGAUUCUCCGACAUGUAUCUGAUCAUGAUCUCGUCCUCUUCUUCCUUCUCCGUUGUCGUCGUCGUCGCCGCCGCCGCCGCCGCCUUGAGGACGGCUGCCUUGUGCAGGCUAGCUCCGCUGCAGCUCUUCCUCGCCGGAAUCUCGUCGUGACUAGGGAAGCUCUUCCUGAACGAGCUCGAUCCGCCGCAGGCGAUGAGGCUGAGGAGCAUCGAAUUCCGGCUAAGCAUUGGCUCGAUUCCGAUGGGAUCGCCGUCCUCGAAUCUCGUCGGAUUGAGCGCGUCCAAGGUGUUCGACGAAUUUUCUGAACGAGCCGAGGGCGGCGAGGAAUCGGCGUCGAUGACAUGCUCGGAUUGUGGAGGUGUCUGAGUGUUUAAUUCUUCAAUUUCAUCAGUGGAGACGCCUCUGGAGCAGCUCUUGCUGUGCAGGUUAGAAGAAUCUCAGAUCCUUUGAGCACAUAUUCACCUCCUUCAGAUGGGAAAAUGAGAAAUGAAACACAACACAAGUGGGGUAUUAUCUAUUAUUAAUGGAUGAGAUGAAAUGAAAUGAAUGACCUCUUGCAAGACCAGGAGUAGAGAGAAGGUAUGGCUUUGCCUCUGAGUUGAGUGAGUCUUUCCAUUACAUCU
Long non-coding RNA from Andrographis paniculata, 2091 nucleotides. RefSeq lists it as uncharacterized. The record is from RefSeq and is a predicted model, not a curated record. The transcript has 4 exons. NCBI's taxonomy places the organism in Eukaryota, Viridiplantae, Streptophyta, Magnoliopsida, Lamiales, Acanthaceae.